Molecule: ribosomal RNA, 460 nt
Filed under: uncultured bacterium
Lineage: Bacteria
Description: partial 16S ribosomal RNA
Rfam family: Bacterial small subunit ribosomal RNA
Source: RNAcentral
CCUACGGGUGGCAGCAGUGAGGAAUAUUGGUCAAUGGCCGAGAGGCUGAACCAGCCAAGUCGCGUGAGGGAAGACGGCCCUACGGGUUGUAAACCUCUUUUGUCGGGGAGCAAAGCGAACCACGUGUGGUUCAUUGAGAGUACCCGAAGAAAAAGCAUCGGCUAACUCCGUGCCAGCAGCCGCGGUAAUACGGAGGAUGCGAGCGUUAUCCGGAUUUAUUGGGGUUAAAGGGUGCGCAGGCGGAGGUGCAAGUCAGCGGUCAAAUUGCGGGGCUCAACCCCGGGACUGCUCUUGGAACUGCGUGGCUGGAGUGCAGGAGAGGCAGGCGGAAUUCCUGGUGUAGCGGUGAAAUGCGUAGAUAUCAGGAGGAACACCGGUGGCGAAGGCGGCCUGCUGGACUGCAACUGACGUUGAGGCCCGAAAGCGUGGGGAGCAAACAGGAUUAGAUACCCUAGUAGUC